This 768-nucleotide ribosomal RNA is filed under the name uncultured bacterium. Its description in RNAcentral is "bacterial SSU rRNA". It matches the Rfam family "Bacterial small subunit ribosomal RNA", at positions 94 to 881 of the family's 1533-position model. The record is from RNAcentral.
AGUGGCGGACGGGUGAGUAACACGUAAGCAACCUGCCCGGUAGUGGGGAACAACGGGCCGAAAGGCUCGCUAAUACCGCAUGUGAUGGCUGUUCUUCGGGAUGGUCAUGAAAGCCUUAAGGCGCUACCGGAGGGGCUUGCGGUCGAUUAGCUAGUUGGCGGGGUAAUGGCCCACCAAGGCUACGAUCGAUAGCUGGUCUGAGAGGACGGUUAGCCACACGGGGACUGAGAUACGGCCCCGACUCCUACGGGAGGCAGCAGCUAGGAAUCUUGGGAAUGGGCGAAAGCCUGACCCAGCAACGCCGCGUGGGCGAUGAAGGCCUUCGGGUCGUAAAGCCCUUUUGCAGGGGAAGAUGAUGACGGUACCCUGCGAAUAAGCCACGGCUAACUACGUGCCAGCAGCCGCGGUAAUACGUAGGUGGCAAGCGUUGUCCGGAUUUACUGGGCGUAAAGGGCGUGCAGGCGGUCUGUUAAGUGCAGGGUGAAAGCUCCCGGCUCAACUGGGAGAGGUCCUUGCAUACUGGCGGACUUGAGGGGGGUAGAGGAAAGUGGAAUUCCCGGUGUAGUGGUGAUAUGCGUAGAUAUCGGGAGGAACACCUGUGGCGAAGGCGGCUUUCUGGGCCCUACCUGACGCUGAGACGCGAAAGCGUGGGGAGCGAACCGGAUUAGAUACCCGGGUAGUCCACGCCGUAAACUAUGGACACUAGUGUGGGGGGUAUCGACCCCCUCCGUGCCGCAGCUAACGCAAUAAGUGUCCCGCCUGGGGAGU